This is a long non-coding RNA of Antechinus flavipes (yellow-footed antechinus), 149 nucleotides long. RefSeq lists it as uncharacterized. The record is from RefSeq and is a predicted model, not a curated record. Lineage: Eukaryota; Metazoa; Chordata; Mammalia; Dasyuromorphia; Dasyuridae. The transcript is spliced from 2 exons.
UUCAGGGAUCAUUUCUAUAGUAUGUGACUAGAGAAUUGUAGCUGAAAGUGUAGCACGGAGGUAACCACGAGGAGGAGCUGUAGCGUUCCCUUCUGAGCGUGAAGCCGGCUUGUGGUGCUGCUUUUCAGCAGCUGUCACUUGCCAUUGAU